Molecule: long non-coding RNA, 967 nt
Filed under: Homo sapiens (human)
Lineage: Eukaryota; Metazoa; Chordata; Mammalia; Primates; Hominidae
Description: p53 upregulated regulator of p53 levels
Source: RNAcentral
GGUGACCUGGGAAUCAAUGUGUGAGGUGGUGCUAUGUAGCAGGAACCCCUCUUGCUUUGCAAAUAGUUUUUUGUUUGUUUUCCUUUUUGCCCAAUAGAGCCCUGCUCUACUGACCCUUCAAUGUGCCCGUGUGCCUAAAUAUUCCUGGUCGUGUGAAAAGAACCCAGGUAUUAGCUGAACUAAGGAGCACAAUUCUGCAACAUUUUGGCACCCAAACACGGGGCUUGAGAAAUGAAUGCAAUUGGAGAAACUGGUUGUUUUACCAGGCGUUGAUUGGAAAUGUGUGCUUCCCUUUAAGCAGUCAAGCUCAACUUGCAGAACUGAUGGGAACCCCUUGGGAAAACUGGCCUCAAAUGUUUGUCUACACAGUCCACAUACAGGGUUCUUAACCUGCGAUGAGGGAAACUUCCCAGGGCUUGUCUGGGUAUGCCCACAGUGGACUGGAGCCCAAAAUGCACACUGGAGGAAGUGGAUGGAGCCACGUGGAUGUCAUGCCUUAUGCAGGGGAGGAGCCUGCUCUCUUCAGCUCCUGUGGUAAUGUGGGAAUCGAUCUGUGAGGAAACACUUUCUGAAAAUGUCAGAACUCUUGAAAACAUGGAUGAGGAAAAGCAUAAGUACUGCUUUAUGCUUUUCUUAUGAAUUUUAAAAGAUGUAAUUUAAAGAUUGAAACUCCCACAACUUUGGCAGACCAACUCCUCAGAAAACAUUAUUCUUUGACAUCAAUAUGUUUUGCACAAAAUUGAAUGGCAAGUGAAAGGCAUCAAAUGGAGCUGUCAUUUAAAUGUGCUUGCCAACUAGCUUGUUUAUCAAAACAUUCCAGACCCUUUCAAAUUCUCAUUUACAUUGUUUCUUGUUUACCACACCCAUAAAUUUGUAUUACCAGCAUAUUUAACUAUCCGGCUAUUUUGGAGAUUGAAAAAAGAAGACCUGAUUUAUCAUGUGCAAUAUCUCACACAUCUGUCAUUUC